CACUAGCCGAUAUGCUUUUCUCUCAUGCCUUUCCUCGUUCAUGGUUCGAUCGCCUGGUGUCCUAGGCGUAGAGGAACCACACCAAUCCAUCCGAACUUGGUGGUUAAACUCUACUGCGGUGAAGAUACUGUAGGGGAAGUCCUGCGGAAAAAUAGCUCGAUGCCAGGAU
Molecule: ribosomal RNA, 169 nt
Filed under: Passiflora costaricensis
Lineage: Eukaryota; Viridiplantae; Streptophyta; Magnoliopsida; Malpighiales; Passifloraceae
Source: RNAcentral